Molecule: long non-coding RNA, 14598 nt
Organism: Gallus gallus (chicken)
Lineage: Eukaryota; Metazoa; Chordata; Aves; Galliformes; Phasianidae
Exons: 3
Source: RefSeq, a predicted model, not a curated record
CCUUCCCUUCCCUUCCCUUCCCUUCCCUUCCCUUCCCUUCACCCUUUUCUUCUCCCUUCUCCCUUUUCUUUUCCCUUCCCUUCCCUGUUGGUGCCAGACAGCACGCAGCAGAUGAUCCCUGGAGGGGUAUGCUCAGCACACACAAACAUGAUGUUUACUGGCUCUGGGAUGGAUCAGGGAGGGAUUUAGAGACUCCAAGCUUGGCUGUGCGGCUCAGAGAUCACCCUGCAACAGCUCUUCACGAGGCUUCUUGGUGGGAAGAGCUCUGCGUAGGUUGGAGGAACUCCAGCUUGGGUAAAACAACACCUGUUCUUGGUGACCUGCUCAAAGCCGUUUCCCAGGGAUGCCAGCAGGGGUAGCUGGGGUUUGGGUUCAGCUGCAGCAUGCGACUGGUGUGAAACUGCACAGCAAAUCCCCAGGCGUGGGGCUCUUGUUCCUGUCAGCCCCUUGCCUCUGGCUUCAUUUUCCCUUGCAGCCCUUUGGCACUCACAUUGCAGCAGAGGGGAAGAUGCUUUUGCAGCCAGGAGCCAGCUCAUCCCUGAGACCGCAGGGAGCCGCAGCCGCAGAUUGAAACCGCAGCUCACCAGCAAAUGCAAAACAAUGUGCAAACAUGUUUUAAUGUCAGGUUUUUAUUAAAAGUGGACUAAGAGAUUAAGAUGUUCAUCUGCCUUGCAGGGAGCGACUUUAUAAAUCUCAGCUUGCGUGCUCUUGCCAAGCGUUGCUAAUCAGCAGGCUGGAUCCACGUCACGUGUGCACAGUCUGCUUCCUCGUGAAGGCUCUCUUUCUCCAGGCAAUGGGAGAUGGGGCUCAGUGAGACCUCCUGGGGUUUAAUGAGGUUCCCACUGACACAGAGUUAUUGGGUUCUUAUUCCCCCUUUAAGCAUUCUGCUCUACAGGCCUGCUGCAUGUUGGUGUCUCUGCUUUGAGGACUCUGUGUGGAGCAUCACUGGGUCAGCAGGGACCCAUGUCUGGCAUGGGAUCCCCUAUUGGACUCGUUAGAAGGUACUUUGAAUGCCACAGGGGUGGCAGUGAUCACUGCAAAGACCUUUGAAAGCAACUGGCAUGUUAAAAACUCUCUGCCACGCUGAACUGCAGUGGUGGCAGUGAUUUAGGAGCACUGGAAAAUCUUGUCCUCGACCUCUUAAGCUUGUCAUAGCCAUAGGAUUGGAGCAGCUUUGGCGAGAGAUGAUUUGGUUCCUGGUUUUUUUUUCCCCUUCUUCUCUGCUUGUUUUAUGCUCCUAUAAGCAUUCAUCCAGAAAUUCCCCUUUGCUGUGCUGGAUUGAUGGCUCUGGGACAAUCAGCAGUAUUCUGCUGCUGUUAGGAGUUCUAAAGGCAGUAAAGUUGGGUCCUUGAAGUGCUGUCAGUAAUCAUUUUUAUGGUGGUCAGAUUGCUCAUUAGCACACUUGUUUUCAGAUAUUUAAGCUGGAAAGAAAUCUAUAGUCCUUGCAUUUUUAACUUGAUAACCACUCAAUAGAACAAAUAGAGUUGGAAAUUAGAGCAGAGCUGGGCUGGAAGAAAUAGUCCUGAAUGCUCACCUUUUACCCCAAAGGUCUAUGGAGACAAUUGCUUUGAGAACACAGCUUGGGGGAGCACAUGCAUUCCCAGCCUACCGAGAGGUAAUAACAGCUCAGGUUUACAGUGGUGAUUAGCCAGUAGGAUGGGACCUGGAGGUAGUCCUAAAAUAGGUAUAUUGAAAGCUUCUGCUCUGAGUCUGGGUGAAAAACAAGGACUGGAUUGGAGCUGGACAUGAAGCAAAAGAAACAGCCCAAGAAAUCCUAACCGAUGGUUCCCAGAACCUGGAGGCAACUGGGUGGAUUCAGAGCAGUGCUGGAGUGGCUUUUCUUGAAGUCCUAUUUCCCAGGCAGGGCUGUGAAUGGCCCUUGAGCACAUGAUGGGGUCUGGGGUCUGGGCAGCUGGUUGGGAACUGCUCUGAGUCCUGGUGCACAGUGUGGGAGGUGUCCUGGGGGGGUCUGCAUUUCAUGCUGGCUGUGGUGUCAGAGAGAGUGAGGAAAGCCAUAGGGAAGAGGAAUGUCGAAGUAGGCAGCUGUGGUGGGAAAAUAAUGCUUCUUUCCUGAAGUAGUGACCCAUUCCUGGACCAUGGCCUUUCUGCCCUACCAGCGAUGCGUUUGGGGGCACCCAUCAGAGAAGCAGCAGCCUGGCACCUGGUGCUCACCUCCAUCUCCCAGAGUGUUCCCUUCCAUCCCGAGCACAGCUCAGCUGCAGUAUCCCCCACCACACCUUUAGUUUAGGCAAUAAAACAGCAAAGGGUUGGAGGAUUGGUUGGGAUUUUUUUGUUUCUGUAAAGCAUUUUGGGAUUCAGUGGAAGGCAAGGUGCUGUGCAGAUGUAAGCUCGUUAGAAGGUCAUUAUCAUUAUUCACCUGCUGUGUCUGUCUGUCUCUCUAAAUGGCUUUAGCUGUCAGCCUAUUUAUCCAUGUUCCCCUCUUCCUAUUAUUAUAUGGUAAGACAUUGCCUCUGCUCCUAGCCCCCCUAAGGCCCUCCCUCCCCAUUUCCCAUGCCAACAGCACUGUGCUUUGUCUGAUGGGAGUUCAAGGAGCCCAAGGCCAGACUGCCCCGUCCUCCAUCCGUCCUGUGCUGCUGGGGGAACUGGAGGUGUUCCUGCAGCCCUGGAUGCAAAGAGGGUGCCCAGAGUGUGCUCCCCCCACAGCCAGCCCUCAUCUGUCCCCGUGCAUCCCCUGUGUGCUCCGGUGCUGCUGUGUAGCAGCGUUGAUCAGUGGAGAUAAUUAAUAUGAGGAAGUAGAAAAUUUUGUCUUGGGCUUAUUACAGACUCUAACCCUAUUAGGCAGGCCAUUUGGAGUCCAGGGAGGGCUGUUUCUUUCCAGAAGAGAUUGCAAGUGGAUUGAGUUCCAUUAUGUUCCUAAUUAAAAGGAAUGAAAUAAAAGAAAAAAAAUAAAUAAAGAAGGGAAGGAAAAGAAGCGAUGGAGCUUUGUGACACUUUGGGAGGAAAUUAAAGCCUCGUAGGUGUUUUCCACUGAUGCACUCACGUGCACUGCCUUGGUGCUUUCUGCUUCCCUCUUCCAUCGCCAACCCAUAUGCGGAGCCCCAGUUCUCCUGGCCCAAGAGUGGGAGGGCCAGGAUAGGGCCGAAGGGGCAGCAAUGGGGCUGAGCAUUGGGAUGAUGCGAUGGGAGCCGGGCAGGGAUGGAUGCUGGGCAGAGGCAGAGAGCUGCAGGCUGGGAGAGCCGUGGUGCACAGCGGGGUGUGGGUGCAAUGGCUCUGCGAGGGAUUCUACAUCAAGGAGAGAUCCCACAUCAAGGCAGCGCCGUCGGGCUCCCAGGAGCGCUAUCGCUUGCCCAAAGGGCUCGGAGCACUUACUUAUUUUGUAAUGCGGCCCCUCAGCCUGUGAUGUGCCAGACGUGGCGUGUCUAAGAAGCCGGGCUGUUCCUUAUCAGCCUCUCGCACUGUCUCAGAACCCUUCUGCUAAGUGUCUUUUGUCCCCUAAUAAACUGAUAAGCUGCUGGUAAUCCGCUGAUCGCUGAUAGGCAGGGCGGCCCUGCUCUCCCUCCCUGCACAGAUAAGGUGGCUCUUUGCCAGCGGGCAGCAGGUGAUACAGCUCAGCCCGCAGCAGGGAGCGGGUGGGCUCUGAGAGUGUGUGCCCCCCACCCCUGGCUCGUGUGAGGAGAGAGAACAGGACCGGGUUGGACUCUCCUGGGGGUUCUGCAUCACUUGGGCAGGCAGGUCCUGCAUCCGUCCUGCAGAGUGUGGGCGUCGUGUCCUGUUCCCAAAUGUGCAUCCUGGCCCUGCUGUUGGCUGCACAACGGUGCCAGGCUGGGGCAGGGAGUCCUGUGGCUGCCUGUGCUCCUGGAGGGAGACUGGAAAGAAAGGGAAGGUGGGAGGGAAGAGGAAAAAAGGCAUGCGUUUCCUCCUCUUCCCUCUCUGUUGCAGCACUCUUGCUCUCCGCUGUCAGGAGAUGGGCAGGAGGGAGGAGCGCAGCACCCUUUUGGUGUUAAUUAUCUACGAAGCCAUGCAGCUGUGGUGCACACAGCUCCGGUGCUGGGGCUGCUGCCACCUUUGCACCUGCCCUGUGCUGUGCAGGAGUAAAGCCCUCUCCCACUUCCCUGCAUCCAUAGCAGCACAGGGCUGCAAUGCAGCACCGCUUCCCUUGGGCUCCCCAUCCCAGCAAACAGCUGCGAGCCUGCGUGAGCCGUGGGGCUGUGGGACAGCCCAGCUCCAGAGGGGGAUCACUUCCUUCCCAGCACUCACAUCACUGCUAUUUAAUUUGCCAGGCGAUACGGUGGAAGGGAACGAAGUGCUGCAUUUUGUAUUUUUACUUCCUCGUCAACGUUCUCCUUGGGGGAAGCUGAUCUUUGGCCUGUUGCGGCCACAGCCCUUGUUUAGCAGAGUUUGGGCUUGUUCUGACUAUUUCUUGCUGUGGAAAACAACUCAUUAGCACGAGGCAUGCCGGAGCUCUGGAGACUCUCCUAUUUUCCUUCUAUUUUUGCACAGCGCAAGGAUGGUGUGAGCAUCUCUACCCUGGCACCAGGCAGCAUUUUGGGCUCACCCCCGUGUCCUUCUCCCCUGCUCACGUGUUUUAGUGCUAACACUGCCUACUCUAUAACAUAAACUUAUGGGCUGGGGGCAUAAAAUCCAAAGCAGGAUCCACGUCUCCUCCCCGCCUCCUCCCCCUAAUUGCGUGCAUUUAUGUAUCUGUUUGCUGCUGCUGGAGCGAGCGGGCUCAGCCCUGCAACCUGCUGUGUGUGGGGACUGGAAAUGAGGGAUCAGGAAGAUGCUGACAGCCUGCUUGCGAAGGCUUGAUCAAUCAGUAUGUAAUAGAAAAACGGCUUUGGCUCUACGGGGAGAAGGAAGCAAAGGAUUUGAUUAAAAAGUCAGACUGCGGCUGGUUGGAAGGGACAUCUCUUGGAGGCGGAUGAAUCAUCAGGUAGUUACAGCACAGGGGUUUGGCUUGAGAGCAAAGUGGGGGGAACUGCCUUCCUCCCUCUGCUCGGCAUCCUGAAUUGAUAUAGAGCGGCCGUGGGGCUCCGCUACUGCCCGUGAGCUGUUUGGGAUGGAGCAGUGCCAGGUUCCUCACUCAGGCAGCACCAUGCCUGCCCUGCUGGCAUUUGACAUGGGUGAACAUGCACUAAAUAAUCGGCAGCCUAUCGAUCCGAGGUCACCCAUGCCAAAGCGUGAUCGAUGGGAACAGACAGCUGAGUGGUUCUGUAAUGAAGUGCCUUCACCUUAGUGGAUUUGGGAGAGAGAAAGGGUAUGGGAGAUUAAAUCCUCCUGCCAUCGACAGCUCAUCAAGCAAAAGACGUAUUAGUGAGGAGCAGUCAUGCUUCCUGAGCCCUGAUGGGAGGAACUGAACUGCUGGGAAUUGUUUGUGCUCUUUGGGGGAACAUCAGCCAGGAGUGCAGCCCCACUGCCUCCCAGCACCCCGCUCAUGGCUGCAGCUGGCAGGGGGUGUCCCAGGCAGCAGUAAAGCUUUGAGUGCUUUGGAGGAAUUAGGGAAUCCGGGAGGGGUGCACCCAGGAUACAGUUGGCUUUCUGUGCUGUGAGGGCACAGUGCUGGCUCAUCCCCAGCUGCCACCCAUCAGUACCCCCAGACCCUUUUUGGCAGGGCUGUGCUCCAUCCUUACACCCCCAGCUUGUACUGACACUGCGGGUUACCAUGACCCUUGCACUUGGCUUUGUUGAACCUCACGAGGUUCUCCUCACUGCGCUGCCUGUCUGUGUCUCUCUGGAUGGCAUCCAGAAUUUGCCAUGGCUGCUGCAGCCCUGCUGGCCGAAGGGCUGAUGUGGGUCUGACAACCGGCAGCCACCGAUGGGCUGUGGCUGGCAAUGAGGGGCAUCAACUGCAACCUGAUGGCACUGAGGAGCCCUGGAGCUGCUGGGAGUUGUGCCAUGCUCCCAGACCCCCCAGCCCUAUGUGCAGAGGAAGGCAAUGGGAGCUGAGGUGGGACCUGGCAGCUGCCACGUGAAGUGUACUGAAGCUGUGGGGUGGAGAAAUGGAAGGCGUGGGGUUGGAUCCUGCAUCUCCAGCCAACCGUGUUGCCUGGCAAGCAGCACAGAAAGCGAAUAACACUUAAACCCGUGCAGGCCUGGGGUGACAGCAGUGCUCCGACAUCUCCUCCACCCAUUUUUCAAGACAAACUUUCCUCCGUGAUCCACACACAGCUUUAUUGAGCUCUAUUUCCUCCAGUCUAACUACAGAAAGAAAUUGGCAGCAAGCGCUCUCGCGGGCAGCGUGGAACGGCAGCGGCGGCUGUCAGGGCUCCGGGGGCUUUAUUGCCCUGCCAAACACCUACAUCAUGGUGACACUUACAUAAUUACAUAUCGGACCGGCGAGGAUGAAGCGCCCAGCACCUCCUAAACGUGUCAACAUGAUUUGAGAGGUUUGGGUUUGGCUGGACUUCGUAGGCAUUAGAUUUCAGACUCCAAUCACACGGGCAUCCGGAGGAUCAAUAGCUGAGCACUGCGUGGCAGCUGGCUGCAAGGUGAGGGAGAGCAGCUCCGGGCGUCAGCGUGGCCGGUUAAGGUGAUGGAUGAGUUGGGUUUGGGUUUGGUCGCUCCUCCUCCUGCUGGGUCUUGUUCUGCCCUGCUGCAAAGAGGAAAUCUCAUGGGGAGACUCUGCAUCCUCACCCCGUGCCAGCAGUGCAGCUUCAUCAUGGAUGCUCUGUGACCCUCAUUAUGCAGCAGAGCACUUCCCAGCUUUACCAGUAAUCCCACUCUCAGCUCCAGCCACGUCACUCCGUGCUGGCAGCAAAUAGGUUUAGGGAAGAGAAAGCCGCUGUGACGCAGAUGUCUGCGGGCUGAGCUCCCUCUGACAGCACACGUGGAGGCUCUGACGGCGCUGCACCGCUGUCGGUGUGGGAAUGGGAUUUGGGGCCCUUCUGUGGCUUCUCACUGAUGUUGCGUGAGAUGGAGAUGCUCUGCUUUGGGCAAAUCUGCCCUUGCUGUGUGCUGUAUGAGUGCCCUUGAGAAAUGUGGGGGAAAUCACAGCAAUUUGGGUGAUUGAGUUUGGGUGGGUUAGGAAAGAACAGCGGAAUGCCUCAGACCAAAGCUGAAAUUGGGGAUUUUCUUGCAGACUCAUUGGCUUGAACUCCUUUCGUGAAGAGCUGAGGUUGUUGCACUUGUUGGCACCCUCAGCUCUAACCAGUGACAUGUGACACGUGGGACCUCUUAGUAACCGCAUUUAAUUAAGUCAAUUUCAUUUAGUUAAUUAAAGCAUCCACUGAUUGCUUGUUAACCCUGCACACACGGCUUCUGGGCAGCCCUGCUGCCCGCUCCUUUGGCCCUCUCUGUCAUCGGCCUUUGUCCUCUGCUGUCCCUCAGAUGAUGACAACCAGCCCUGACUUUGCCAUCGUGGGUCUCCUCCUUGCUGCCUCCAAAGGACCGUGGUCCCUUUUUCCAUUAGGAAAGCAGCGUGUGCACACAGGUGACCCAGCUCUGCCCUGGCCACAUCUCACCCAGCUCCUUCAAAUUAAUUUCCCUGAUGGAGAAGCUCAGCAUCCCGCUGUCGUGCCUUCCAAUUCACACUCAGAUCAGCGCAGUGCUGGACCCACUUUGCAGCGAGCUUUGCAGCACCCGCCUGCAUUACCCAGCGCAACUUAAGGGGAAAACACCUGCAAACAAAUUGAACGUUCCUAAGUGCAAAUUGGUUUUACAAUUGCUCGAGAUUUAAAGUGCCACUGCAGCAAAACGAUGUUAUUUUUGGGGGGGGCAGAUGUCUUUGGAAUACAGGUUGGUUGGAUUUGUCCUGUUGGAAGGGUUGGGUUCAGCCCAGCUCUUGGUGGGUUGGUCCAUUGGGAUGCGCUGGGCUGCGGCACAUGGGCUGACCCCAGAACUGUCCCCAGUGGAGAUAAUCUGAUGGGUAGCGACGCUGCAGUGCUGUGCGAGGCUCUGUGCAGAGUUCAGCACUGCUCCAAACUUCCUCUUCUCCUCUGCGUGCUCUCUGCAGUCUUCAUUUCCACUAAAUCACCUCAAUUGGUUUCGCUCAGCGGUUGGAAAGCCAUGCUUGGAAUAUAAUGGUUGAUCUUUUAUGACAUUUACCGCCACUCAUGUCAGCGCGCGCGCCUGGUUAAUUCACUUGUUGCUAUGCCAUCCAUCAAUCACCAUAAAUGUUAUAACAGCAAUCUGUCACCGGGGGGGCACGCGUGGGGAGGUGUGCGAGGCGCAUUGGAUGGGGCUUGGGAAAUGAGUGACCCCUCCAUGUACUGGGGGGGAGUUGCCUGGAUCUGAGCAGUGCUGUGUGCUGUCCGUCCCAGUGCUGGGGCACGGGGUUUGUGCAGCAGCACAGUGCUCUCGCAGAUCGUUCUGCUGCUUGUCCCCUCACCCAGCAAGCUGUCCCCCUUCUUUUGGGGCGGGAGAGGCUUUGCGUGAGAUUUCAGACAGUGAAAACGUGGCUUAGUGGCAGUUUGCAUUCCCAACAGCCGGUGUAACAGCAGCCAUCAACAGCUAUGAGCCCGGCAGCAAAGCAGAUGAAGACAAAGUAGCCUCAGGUCUCACUUGUUGCCCUUUGCAAGUAAUUAUAUUAAUACACCUGUGAGCUCAUGUAAUAACAGAGAUGAGAUCUCCGCGACGCCCUGUUUGGGUGAAGGCAGGCUUGCGGGAGGUGUCUGAGAUUGCUUUCCCUGUGAAGAAACAGCAUUUUGAUUGAUCUCUCGGCAAAGAUAUGAAAACGCUCCGACUCGGUGCCACAUUUCCUUUUCGCUGUGACAUUUUGCAGGAGGGAACGAAUGGCACGCAGCCGUUCCCACGGUCCGGGUGACAUUACCAACAGCUCAGCAUCUCCUGCAGCACCAGCCGUGCUGGAGGGCUGACCCCCAAUGGAUGCUGGUGCUGAGCUAUGUGGGGCAGGGAUGGUCCUGGCUGUGGGUGAUGGCAGGUGAGCUGCUGGAGAUGGGUCAAGGCAUGCGUCAGAGCACAGCAUGGCAGUACCCCCCUGCAUCUGCUCCUCGUGACUUCAACACGGAAAGUGUUUUAGAUGCUCCUUUCCCUCCCUGCGUGGAGUUGAUGGCAACUCUAGUUAAAAGCUGAGAUGCUCAUGAAACACUUAUCGCCCCAAAGCUGUGUCUGCACUGCUCUCUGUUGCAGGUGAGGGGAUGGGAUCUCUUUGGGUCCUGUACUUUGGGAACCAGCAGGCAUUCUCCUUCCUCCACCAACCCCUGUGUGUGUGACUUAUUGGCCUCAAUGGAUCCCAGUUUCCACGUCUGUAAAAUGGCGUGACAUUUUCCUCCCAUGCGCUGAGGCUUUGCUUGCUCCUCUGGCCCCGCUUGGCUUUUAUUCUCCUCCCUGUAGAAGUGCUCAAAGGUGCUGGCCCACAUCAGGAGCUAAUGGGCAGCAUGCUCAGUGAGCAGGAACAGGGCUCUUCCUAUUAAACCAUGAGCACGCAGGCAGCUCUCCAUUCCCCCGUUCCUCCCCCAUAAUCCCUCCUCCUCGCUUCCCUCUCCACCAUCCCCGGCGAUGCUCAGCUCCAAACACCGUUGCAGCUGUGAGCAAAAGAAGCAGCAGUGCUGGGAACAGACCCUGCGAGAACUCAGCCCCAUGUUCCCUCUCUGCACCCCAACACUGCCCUUGCAAGCCGGGCAGCUGGGAGCUGAGCAUUGCCCUGGGAGGUGCUGGUUGGGUCCUACGUGCAGACGUGCAGCUUUGGGGCAGGACCAGGUGCUUUGUGCACUGUGGGUGUUCAAAGCAAAUCUGCAGCGCUCACAUCUGAGCAAUGGUCACCUGGUGAGAGAGAGGUGGUGGUGGUGGGCUCCAAUCUGGGGGCUCCAGUUCGGAGCUGGUUGCUGAAAGCCUUGAGCGUGAGGAUUUGUAGCAGAAAGGCUGCUGGAGCAGGAGCCUAGAGCAGGGUGAAUGGAGCUGCUCUAAUGGAUAUUAAGUGAUUUGCGAGCCCGCUGCUUGCAAACACAGCUGUAAAUAGAACAAAGGGAGGGGGUAGCAGAUGAAAGAGGCUCAGGCUCUUUAGCGGAGCAGUGUGAAAAAUGGGGAAAGGUUCCUGUGCAGGGCUCGGGCAGCGAGAGAAACAAAAGCCCCGGCAUCUAUUUUCAUAUCUUUUAUGUCUUCCUUGCACUUAAUCUUGUUUAGCUCUGCAAUUAAAUUUUAAGACGCAUAAGAGUGUUCGCUUACACACUUGGAUUCUUCGCAGAUUGAAUUAUUUAAUAGAGUGUGGAGCGGCUCCAUGAUCUCGGAGCUAUGGCACCAAAGGCAGCCAAGCAGAAAAUUAAUAAACACUGCCUGCCGUCUCCGCGCCUCCCGCGCUCCCCUCUGCAUCCUCCCUCUCCCUCUCCUGCUGCAGCCACCCCUCUGCUCCCAUCCCUUUCUGUUGGGGUUUCCUCUUUCCAUCCCACUGCCGUCUCCUCCCUCAGUUUUGCCACCUGCCCUUUCGCUGCUGUGGGAUCGAUGCUCUGUGCAUCUCAUCCUUGCAGCUCAAUGCCUGUGCACGUGUUCACUGUGAUUCGGGUCAUGCUGGGGAACACCCCAUGCCAGCAGUGGGGUUGGGUGGGAUCGGGCUGUGCCACUCUGUAAUUGCAUUCCUUGGCCCAGAAUAAAUCUCAUCUCAAAUGCUGCUGGAAUUCUCUCUCUCCUCCUUCAUUCUCCAGCCACCAAAGUUGAUCUUCUCUCCCCUCCUUUUUUUUUUCUUUUUUUUUUUCCAGUAACCUUUCCAGGCAACAAAUUGCAGGGGGCAAUUACGCUGUUUGCUAAAGAGAGCAUUAAGCCAGCCACAAUUUCCAUAGAGGAUAUUGUGCAGCAAACUGAUACAAAAGCAGUCUAUGAAAUACAUCAAAUUGCCUGUUGGAUAAAGGCAUGCAUUUACAAUGCACUCGGAGCCCUUAUGAAUUAUCUGAAGAGAAAUCCGUUUGUUAUUUUUCUUGCUCUUAAGAAUCCCCAUUUUAAGUGGAACCAAAUAAAAAGGCAGGAAAAUUACCACUAGAGGAAAAGACUGGCCACUCCUUUGUGGGAGGUGAUGGUGGCUUCCCUCUGUUGAUUAUUGAAGGCAAUGUGUUUUGAGUUUGAUGGUUUUCAGUGCAAGUCUUCAUUGGUAUCUUUGUAGAAUCAUAGAAUCAUAGAAUGUUUGGGUUGGAAGGGUCCUUAAAGAUCAUAUUUCCAUGGAGUGGUUGGGUUGGAAGGGACCUUAAAGAUCACAGAACCAUGGGAUGGUUGGGUUGGAAGGGACCUUAAAGAUCAUAGAACCAUGGGAUGGUUGGGUUGGAAGGGACCUUAAAGCCCUGCCUCUGCUGUAAAAUGGGUGCCCCCCCUCCCAGCUUGGCCUUGGGCACCUCCAGGGAUGGGACACCCAUAGCUUCUCUGGGUAAUCUGUUCCACAGAGCCUCCUCUCCUGGUUGCUGCCCUUCAUGCUGAGUGGGAUGGCUGCUGAUAUAGCGCCUAUGGGGCAAACCAAAGCUCUGGCUGAUAAAACUCUGUGAGUUAAGCAGACUCCUACACCCCAGCCCCGUGCCCAAUGUAUUCCAAGCCAUCCACCACCUCCUGGCUCAAAUCAAGAUUAUUUUUCAUCCUUUUCAGGGUUUUCUAUUUUUUCUGAAGCUGGACCCCACUCCACCCCAAAUCCUUUAGCAGCAGGGAGUGCCUGGAGCUGUGGGGUUGGGCAGUGAUUCUCGCCUGGCUCCGCUGCAGGAUGGAAAUAGUACUCGUGGAAUUGAAAUUCUGGAGGGAAUGACAGGGACACAGCAGAGAAGCAGCUAAAACACCUCUCUAAUUGCUAAUCAAUACCUUAAAGAAAUGUUGCCCUAGCUGAAAUCUGCUCCCAGGGAAAAAAAAAAAAAAAAAUCUACACGAUUUGUUCCAUGAUUGGAAUGAGAUUUUAUUGGUCUGGUUUCUGCUGUUUUGGGGGCAUUUUUCUUCUUGUUUUUUUGUUGUUUGUUUUUCUUGUCCCUCCACCCCAUUACGCUCAGGUUUUAUGAAGUCAUCACCCAUUCGUCGGCUCAAAACCUCCGUGAGAAACUCUUGGCUCCGCAGACAGACCAACACUAAUCUUCUGUGUAAUUGAAUCAUCAUUGUGGAUAUUCUUUGGCUGCUUCGAAACAGUUCUGUUUCUCGAGUAAUGCUUUUAUUAGCUUUUGGUGCUGUUGUGUUGCUUUUUUUUUUUUUUUUUUCCUUUUCUGUAGUAAUAUUAUUUUCUUGCUUUCAGAUGCUGUCUACAGCGUGGCUCUUUAUUGAUGUGUUACGAGGAUUUCUGUCUUACUUUUAAAAAGAAAACAAAAAAUCCAGCACAGGCGUAUAGAGCAGAGGUUGCUGUCUCUCCAAGGACGAACAAUUAAGGAACAUGACCAAGGGGAAUUUUCCUGGGCUUGGCUGUUCUCAAUCUCCUCAACCACACAUUUGCAGUUCAGUGGGUCGAUAACCAUUCCUUGGGCUUCUCUCCAUCCCUCCGUGCUGGGAAGGAGAACACAUGGCUGCUCCCUUGUGCAAGGCCUUUGACAUGGUCUGACACCUCACGCUAAGUUGGAGAGAUGGAUUUGAAGGCUGGACUGUUGGUUGGAGGAGGACUUGGUUGGGUGGUCAUAAUCAGAGUCGUUAUCAAUGGCUCUAUGUGUGGGUGGAGGUUGGUGAGGAGUGGUGUCCCCCAGAGGUCUAUCCUGGGACUCGUGCUCUGCAGUGACAUAGACAGUGGAACCAAGUCCACCCACAGCAACUUUACUGAUGACAUCAAGCUGAGGGGUGCAGUUGAUACAACAGAAAGAAGGGACGCCAUCCAGAGGGACCUGGACAGGUUUGAGAAGUGGGCCCAAAAGAGCCAAAUGAGGUUCUGCAAGGCCAAGGUGUUCCACCUGGGUUGGGGCAAUCAUGGAUGUCUUCAGGUGCUAGGAAAAAAAAAUUCUUUACUCAGAGGGGUUGAGGUGCUGGCACUGCUGCCCAGAGCUGUGGGUUCCCCAUCCCUGGAGGUGCCAAAGGGCAUCCCUGGUCUGAUCUUGUGAGGGGCAUCCAGCGGGGGUUUGAGACUCAGUGGUUGUAGAGGUCCCUUCCAACCUAAACCAUUCCACGAUUCUAUGAUUCCCAUCCCUGUGGCUCCCAUAAACCUCUCCUAAAACACAGCUGCAACCCAAAGCAGGGCUUGUCCAGGACUGGGUGAUUCCAACACCAGUUCUCCUGCUGUUGGGACUGCUUCUGCAUAAGAAGAGAGCCCAGAUCCACAUGUUGUGCUGGGACACACAGACGGUUUGUGAUGGCUUGGAGAGAAGAGUGAGGAAGGAGCAGGGGAGGCUCGGGCUGAGCUGGGGCCCCAGGAGGGAUUUGUGGGAUCCUGCAAUUGCCUGAAUUCAUUUCAAUUAUUGGCGGCGCUUCUCUACAGCACUAAAUAAAGUAAAAUAAAUACAGAAAGCAGAAGGCAAUAUAAAGCAGUUAGAGAGGAUCAGUGGUGAACUGAAUAAUUCAUUCAGGAGAGAAAAAGAGCUAUUUGCUAUGUCAUUCUUAUCUUGAUUGUAUUUAUAGACAGGAACUUUUGACAAGGAAAUUACCUGUAAAUUCUUCUUCUUUUAUUUUUUUAUCCAUCCAUCCAUCCAUCCAUCCAUCCAUCCAUCCAUCCAUCCAUCCAUCCAUCCAUCCAUCCCAGCAAAUAAUCAGCAGGAAGACUUAUUGCAGGGUUUAUUUUCUUCUUCCUGAGGCAGUUUGAUGGAAUUGUAUGAAGAACACAAAAUCUCACGACCUCACUCUGAGCCCAUUGGAAGCUGCUGCUGUGAUAGAAAGCGAGAUAACGUUGGGUGGGAACUCAGGAGGGUGAGCAGCAGCGUUCCCCAGUGCCUCCAAGCAGGGAUGGAAGUCACACAUUUGUGUUUCCUAAGCUGCUGUGCACUGUAUUCAGAGCAAAGGCUGAGACUAUGAUGCUGCUCUGAGCUUCUGCCUCUCACCAGUGUUGAUGUGGGGUCUGUCCUUGCAAAUGGGUGUUCUGCAGCUUUGGGGACGAUGAGCGACAGGAGAAGGACACACUGAGUGCCUCUGUGAGCACGGCUUCAGCACCUGCCAGAAGUGUCACUUUAUUCCUCAAGACUUUAUUUGGUGUGAAAGAUGGCUCAAGAAAAAAUGUAUCCCUACUGAGUUUAUUUGGCAGAGGGACACCGGGGGGCUACAGAAGUUUAUUUACUGCUCUCAUGCUGCAUAUUUGCUCAUUGUUUAUUGAUUGGGAGAGAGAUGGGGCCACAGGAGAGGGCUUUGCCCCCUGGUCCCCCCCAGAGGGGGUCAGCCCCCCAAGAACUGCCCAUGUGCUGAGAUCUGCUCCUGCUGCUGGUGCUUCAAUAGCAUCCAUCAAACCCACGGUGCAGUGGGCUGAGUUCUGUGCAGAGCAGCAGGGAUGGCUCUGCUGUCCUGGAGGCUCUUUGGGGUCACUCUUUGCUUUCUCACCCCACAACGCAACCCUGGAGAGACCUCACAGAAAUUCACCCUGGAGAAACCACUGUUCCUACAGAAGCCCUGCUUCUGCUUCCUAAUAGACAUCGAUGUAAUUUGUUUUCUGAGCAGCAUUGGGGAAAUGUGCAUUGCUCGCCGAACCUCCCAUUUGCAUUGAAGGAAGUCAUAAUUUGAGCGAAGCGUGAAACACUCACGGCAAACUUCUUGUCUCUGUGAGCGCACUGGAGCUCAGCCUCGUGUAUAAUUGAGUUGUUAUAAUGAAGUCUGGGUUUGGUUCUUCAA